This 495-nucleotide ribosomal RNA is filed under the name Ethusa sexdentata. RNAcentral's name for it is "partial 16S ribosomal RNA". It matches the Rfam family "Bacterial large subunit ribosomal RNA", at positions 1832 to 2582 of the family's 2925-position model. The record is from RNAcentral. Lineage: Eukaryota; Metazoa; Arthropoda; Malacostraca; Decapoda; Dorippidae.
UCUAUUUGUAGUUUUGAAUAGUCUGGCCUGCUCACUGAUAGUAUUAAAUAGCUGCGGUAUCUUGACCGUACAAAGGUAGCAUAAUCACUAGUUUUUUAAUUGGGAACUUGUAUGAAUGGUUUGACGAAAAAAAGACUGUCUUUAUUAUAGAAGUUGAAUUUAACUUUUAAGUGAAAAGGCUUAAAUUAGUUAGGGGGACGAUAAGACCCUGUAAAACUUUAUUUGUAUUUUAGAUUAUACUUGAUUAUUAUAUAAUAGUUUUAUCUGAAUAUCAUAUUUUGUUGGGGCGACAUAAGUAUAAGUGUAUGUAACUGCUUACAAUAAUUGCCAUUAGUAGAUGAGAGUAGACGAUCCUUAAUAAAGAUUUAAAAAUUAAGUUACUUCAGGGAUAACAGCGUUAUUUCUUUAGAGAGUCCAUAUCGAAAUAGAAGUUUACGACCUCGAUGUUGAAUUAAAAUAUCUUUAUAGUGCAGCGGCUAUAAAAGAAGUCUGUUC